GACGAACGCUGGCGGCGUGCUUAACACAUGCAAGUCGAACGGAAAGGCCCUGCUUUUGUGGGGUGCUCGAGUGGCGAACGGGUGAGUAACACGUGAGUAACCUGCCCUUGACUUUGGGAUAACUUCAGGAAACUGGGGCUAAUACCGGAUAGGAGCUCCUGCUGCAUGGUGGGGGUUGGAAAGUUUCGGCGGUUGGGGAUGGACUCGCGGCUUAUCAGCUUGUUGGUGGGGUAGUGGCUUACCAAGGCUUUGGCGGGUAGCCGGCCUGAGAGGGUGACCGGCGACAGGUGGAGAGGGAUGCGGCCACGAGUCGUAGGGGGGGCAGCGGGGGGGAAGGUUGGCGCGGGGGAGGAGGCUGGCGGCAGCGGCGGGGGGGGUGGUCUGGUGGGUUGGGGGUUGUCAGCGGCCUGCGCCGGGGAGGAAGGGGGGUGGCGGGUAAGGGAAAAAGACGCACCGGCAAACGGCGUGCGAGAGGCGGCGGGAAUAGAUAGAAGAGGACACUCUGGCC
Molecule: ribosomal RNA, 508 nt
Filed under: uncultured bacterium
Lineage: Bacteria
Description: partial 16S ribosomal RNA
Rfam family: Bacterial small subunit ribosomal RNA (bases 20-332)
Source: RNAcentral